GUAGCUGGGACUGUAGGUCUCCCUCUGUUGUCCAAGGCUGGAGUGUAGUAGCGCUAUCGCAGCUGACUGCAGCCUCAACCUUCCAGG
This 87-nucleotide long non-coding RNA is filed under the name Pan troglodytes (chimpanzee). RNAcentral's name for it is "lincRNA". The record is from RNAcentral. Lineage: Eukaryota; Metazoa; Chordata; Mammalia; Primates; Hominidae.